Molecule: long non-coding RNA, 234 nt
Organism: Aethalodelphis obliquidens (Pacific white-sided dolphin)
Lineage: Eukaryota; Metazoa; Chordata; Mammalia; Artiodactyla; Delphinidae
Exons: 2
Source: RefSeq, a predicted model, not a curated record
GGCGUCGAAUUCGAUGGUCGACUCAUCACAGGUGGGAGCAGUGGGCUCGGCAGCAGGGGAGGAUCCAGCUGCCUUUGCGUUCUUCCGCAGUGGCUCCGAUGUGGCUGUAAUCCUGAUUAGCGUGGGAAGUCACCAUGGGAGCAAAGGCCUCCUUCCACAUCCGGUUCAUGGAGAAAGCAGGGAGGAGCUUAAAUCGUGUUCAAAUUGUGCAUCAAGAUCCAUUUUGAAGACCUG